GAUGAACGCUGGCGGCGUGCCUAAUACAUGCCAGUCGAGCGAACGGACGAGAAGCUUGCUUCUCUGAUGUUAGCGGCGGACGGGUGAGUAACACGUGGAUAACCUACCUAUAAGACUGGGAUAACUUCGGGAAACCGUAGCUAAUACCGGAUAAUAUUUUGAACCGCAUGGUUCAAAAGUGAAUGACGGUCUUGCUGUCACUUAUAGAUGGAUCCGCGCUGCAUUAGCUAGUUGGUAAGGUAACGGCUUACCAAGGCAACGAUGCAUAGCCGACCUGAGAGGGUGAUCGGCCACACUGGAACUGAGACACGGUCCAGACUCCUACGGGAGGCAGCAGUAGGGAAUCUUCCGCAAUGGGCGAAAGCCUGACGGAGCAACGCCGCGUGAGUGAUGAAGGUCUUCGGAUCGUAAAACUCUGUUAUUAGGGAAGAACAUAUGUGUAAGUAACUGUGCACAUCUUGACGGUACCUAAUCAGAAAGCCACGGCUAACUACGUG
This 497-nucleotide ribosomal RNA is filed under the name uncultured bacterium. RNAcentral's name for it is "partial 16S ribosomal RNA". It matches the Rfam family "Bacterial small subunit ribosomal RNA", at positions 28 to 507 of the family's 1533-position model. The record is from RNAcentral.